This is a non-coding RNA of Pelobates cultripes (western spadefoot toad), 215 nucleotides long. NCBI's taxonomy places the organism in Eukaryota, Metazoa, Chordata, Amphibia, Anura, Pelobatidae. The record is from the annotation of a GenBank genome assembly.
AUUUCCUUGUCUAGAAAGUAUGAUACAGGUUUGUUUUUAAAGGCUCUCUCUUUUGUUUUUAAGUUAUCCAACAUAUGAGGCAUGAUAUUAAGUCAUUAGUGGUGGGAUGUUUGUUGGAAGUUGCUUUCACUAUUCUGUCAUCCUAGUGCCUUUCAAUUUCUCAAGACAAUAGCUGUAGUAAAUGAAUACACUUUAAUAAGAACAAAGGAUUGCCA